This is a long non-coding RNA of Lonchura striata (white-rumped munia), 516 nucleotides long. RefSeq lists it as uncharacterized. Lineage: Eukaryota; Metazoa; Chordata; Aves; Passeriformes; Estrildidae. The record is from RefSeq and is a predicted model, not a curated record.
UAUGUAGUGCACUGUGGUUAAUCCUUGUGCUCACAGUAUACUUUAUUUAGAAUCACUGCAGAAUUCCUCCUCUGAUUUUUCUCACUGAAAUUAGACUGCAAUGCUAUGCUUCAGACUUCACAGGAGCCUAAAGAAAGUAAUGUCCUGUGAGCAGAGGAUACUUUUGGGAAUACUUCAGCCCUGGCAGUCAAAGGUUUCACCAACAUUGCUUCACUGAGGACAGAAAAUUCAACAGUAGCUGAAUUGUGAAGUUCCCAGAAGACCAUUUUAUUCUGAAUCUAAGGGUAAGAGAUCUGACUCACAUCAAGUCAGUCCUGGAAGCAAUGGAAUCCGAUGUAGAGAUUUGUGUUUGUGAAAGAAAAAGCAUUCAGCUUCAGCAUCAUCAUUAACUGAAGUGUGACUCACUUCGCCGAGGAUAAAUUGUUCCAUUUAAGAGGCCACACGAAGAGCAUUACCUGCACAAGCAGGGAAGAGUGCUGUGCAGUUUGGCAGAUGCCUCUUAAGAAGAAGUGUUGG